RNAcentral lists this ribosomal RNA (606 nucleotides) under Enterobacter asburiae. Its description in RNAcentral is "bacterial SSU rRNA". It matches the Rfam family "Bacterial small subunit ribosomal RNA", at positions 558 to 1165 of the family's 1533-position model. Lineage: Bacteria; Pseudomonadati; Pseudomonadota; Gammaproteobacteria; Enterobacterales; Enterobacteriaceae. The record is from RNAcentral.
GCGUAAGCGCACGCAGGCGGUCUGUCAAGUCGGAUGUGAAAUCCCCGGGCUCAACCUGGGAACUGCAUUCGAAACUGGCAGGCUAGAGUCUUGUAGAGGGGGGUAGAAUUCCAGGUGUAGCGGUGAAAUGCGUAGAGAUCUGGAGGAAUACCGGUGGCGAAGGCGGCCCCCUGGACAAAGACUGACGCUCAGGUGCGAAAGCGUGGGGAGCAAACAGGAUUAGAUACCCUGGUAGUCCACGCCGUAAACGAUGUCGACUUGGAGGUUGUGCCCUUGAGGCGUGGCUUCCGGAGCUAACGCGUUAAGUCGACCGCCUGGGGAGUACGGCCGCAAGGUUAAAACUCAAAUGAAUUGACGGGGGCCCGCACAAGCGGUGGAGCAUGUGGUUUAAUUCGAUGCAACGCGAAGAACCUUACCUACUCUUGACAUCCAGAGAACUUUCCAGAGAUGGAUUGGUGCCUUCGGGAACUCUGAGACAGGUGCUGCAUGGCUGUCGUCAGCUCGUGUUGUGAAAUGUUGGGUUAAGUCCCGCAACGAGCGCAACCCUUAUCCUUUGUUGCCAGCGGUUAGGCCGGGAACUCAAAGGAGACUGCCAGUGAUAAACUG